This is a long non-coding RNA of Notolabrus celidotus (New Zealand spotty), 1303 nucleotides long. RefSeq lists it as uncharacterized. The transcript has 4 exons. NCBI's taxonomy places the organism in Eukaryota, Metazoa, Chordata, Actinopteri, Labriformes, Labridae. The record is from RefSeq and is a predicted model, not a curated record.
UACAUGUUCUUUGAGGUGAGAGCUGCCUCCUUCCUGUUGUUAUAAGUAUCAAGAUACUCCUGAAGUUCCAACACGCUGAAUUUCAUUUUUUCCAGGAGUCCUGUCUGCAUCGAUGAACAGUGUCGGACACUCUGAGCAUGAUGUCAGCAUCUGAGAGGACCUUAAAAGCUUUGAUCCUAAUCCUCUGAGGCCGUCCCCAAGGUAACUCACAGCAUCAAAGCUUUGGUCAGUGAAGUGAACAACAUCUGGUUAAUGAAUGCUGAGGAUUUUCAAGCUGAAAGCAUCUACACAGUGCCCUCUAUUUGUAAUUAAUCAGAUGACUUCUGAUCGGAAGGUCAAUCAGGUGAAAGACUAAUCCUGUUACCCUUUCACUUCUAUAACUCACUUUGCCUGAGCUCACUGCUUAAUGAAUUCAGGUAUAUGCUCACUCUGAGGCCAUGAUUAUAUAUACCUGAAACAGUGAAGAAAACACAUGAAAAGUGUAGACUGCACAGGAUCCAUCUGAGUCAGACACCAGCUGGUUGAUGUGACUCCGCCAAGCCUCCUCUGCAUCGUCGCACACGGCUGGUUGGAAAGCUGCGAGGAUGGCUGAGAAGAAGGGUGAAGGUGGCGGUGAAGCACGGGACUCCAGAGCGUCGUCUCUCUCUUCCUCUGCAAGACUGAGGAGGCAUAAAGAAAGACCUGUCACAAACAAAGUCAUUCUAUAUGACUUUAUUUAUUAAUUUAUGAGGAGGGUUGUGAGUGGGUACCUGGGUAAGUAGCUAUCAAGGUCCAGCUCUCCUUUAUAAUCAAUGUGAACCAUGUCCAUCGUUAAACUGUCCCCAGUGUUGAAGUCAGGGGGCAGCUCGGUGAUGCAGAGAGAGAGCUCUUCUUCAUGGAUGUUUGUGUCGUCGUAGUCUUGGGAUAAGUCAUGCUAAAAGACAGAAAUAUGGACACACUCUUUCUCACCUGAUGUCAAAAUAAAUUAGAGUCAUGACAAAAAAUGUAGCGGCAUGCAGUGAAGGCUAAAAUACACUGAAAUGUGCUCCUUUUGUUAUUCUUUACUUAUCAGGCAGGUAAUGUUUGUUAAUAAAAUGUAUACACUAACCUUGGUCGUGGACCCUACGGACACUCCUUGUGCUGUUUUCUUUUAUUUUUUAAAAGUCUUUUAUUUUGUAAAUUUAAUGUUAUGAAUUGUGCCAAUUCGAAAGGUUAUAAAUAAUUGAAUUCAGCCAGCAUUAUGGCUCUGUUGUGGCACUUGUGUUUUUUGGGGGCAGGCAAUGUGUAAACCUUUCCUCAGCUCCCACAUGCCAAGAGUUUUUAG